UCUGUAGCCAAGCCCAUAAACUGGAUAUUGAUCACCCUAAAACUAUCCCAUGGUACUGCAACUAUCUUUGGAAGGGCUGUCUCCAUGUCUUGUCUCUGAACACCUUGUGGACAGUGACUUCUCUUUGUAUCCCUGACACACAGCGUUUGAUAUUUAGAGUCCUCAAUCCAGAGUGGGCUGUUGAACAUUAGUUUGAAUUGAUGGAAAACUAAUGUUAAGGAGCAACACACACUGCAGGAAUUAAUCUUGAUUUUUGAAGCUGUACUGUGAAAAAGGAAUGAUUUAUGUACCUUUCUUGGCCAGAGUCCCAGAGUAUCCUUAAGAUAGAACCUGAAGCCCCAGAGACUACCUGACAUUACCAGUGUCUGGUUAAGAUUCAAAAAUAUUUCCAUUUAAAUAAAUAUAUAUCCAGGACUUAGACAAAGGAUCUAAAAAAACUGAAUAAGAAAUCCAGGUUCAGACCUGCAGGAUCCUCUUUCAUCUGCUCCCCUAUGUUCAGUUAAGAACCCUGUCUGUGUUCAGUUGACAUUAUAUGGUGUCAGAAGUGGGAUAAGAAGGUGAUGAAUCUCGAUGAACUAACAACUCCAGGCAUUGUGAAUGGUAGCCACUUCAGCCUCUUGCAUUAUGAUGGGACAUGAUAACCAGGAAAGGUCCUUCCUGGCACCAAGGGACAAAAUCACUAAAUACAGAAAACUGAUUCUUGAUUGGCAGUGCUUUAAAGAAAUGUUUAAAAUAGUACCUCACAACUUCCUCUUUUCCUUCCAGGCUUGCAUAUCUGGAAUUGCAAUUCCCAAAUAAAGUCAUUUGCUACAUGAUAACCUUGGUUUUUUAAUUUAAUUUUUAAGGUUGAC
Molecule: long non-coding RNA, 851 nt
Organism: Canis lupus familiaris (dog)
Lineage: Eukaryota; Metazoa; Chordata; Mammalia; Carnivora; Canidae
Exons: 5
Source: RefSeq, a predicted model, not a curated record